UCGCUCCUACCGAUUUCGAGUGGUCCGGUGAACCGUUUGGACCGGGAUCAGUCUUGUGCUGAGCCUGGGAAGUUCAGUAAACCACAUCACUUAGAGGAAGGAG
This 103-nucleotide ribosomal RNA is filed under the name uncultured eukaryote. RNAcentral's name for it is "partial small subunit ribosomal RNA". The record is from RNAcentral.